Molecule: long non-coding RNA, 4182 nt
Filed under: Citrus sinensis (sweet orange)
Lineage: Eukaryota; Viridiplantae; Streptophyta; Magnoliopsida; Sapindales; Rutaceae
Description: long non-coding RNA (CSIN_LNC001226)
Source: RNAcentral
AAUUCUUUGAAGCUUGAAGACAUGCCUAUCAAUUCUCAUCAUCAAUAAAAAUUUGUUUUGUUUUAAAACCAUUAUUAAGGUUAGCCAAAAUACCAAUACUCGGCCUCAUCCAGAUUAUGCUAAUUAUACUUCUUCCAACACUCAUUAACGAUUAUGAGAAUUUGUGCAAUGUGGAUGACAGGUACUAUCAAAAGACAGCGAAUAUAUGCAUAAUUUCUAAUGUUCUCUUUGCGAAAAUAUAAUAAAGCUAUGGUUAAGAAUAACUCAUGCUCUCAAUCAGUUUGAUACUUAUAUUAAAUAAACUGAAACAGAACCUGGGUUUAGAUCUUGGCUCCUCGGCAACAUUCUCUCAAGCAUAUAUGUAGUGUAUGUAGUGUAAUCAGCAACAAACUCACUUUUGAACUUUCAUAUCCCUUGAGGCGAUUUAACGAACAGCUCCUGAUUUGAAUUUUAACAAUUCUGCCUCAACUUGUAAUGAACCGAGUUUUAUACCAGAAUUGUCUAUAUACUUUCCCUGCAUAGUCUUCACAUGAAAACUAGCUGCAUGAUUGAUUGAUGGGGUGUAAAACCAGUAGGAAAUAUCUUGAAGAAACCAAAGAUCCGUGGAUUUUUAUGCUUACCACCAAAUGAAUUUAACAAUUUGUGUAAUCUUUAUUUUAAGAAAUUGAACAUUGAUAAUACCGCAAAUCGAUUGCUCUUUUGAACAGACUUUAUAUCUUGAGUUCGAUGAAAAGAGAACAAUCAAUCAAGAAAUAUAAAUACAUCAGCAAAAUAAUGAUGGUAGUAGCAUUACACAUCUAAUUAGCCAUAACGAAGCCGAAUAAUUAGCCAUAAUAAAUCUGAACUGUUAACAUUAUGUCAAGCAUGUUGUUGGAAAAUAUUAAAUUAAUUCAUUUGCAAGUAUAAUAGCAUGUAAUCUUGAAUUAUGAAUGAAGCCCAUUCUAACAAGCUAAUUUUGUAAAGGAACAUUAUCAACGAAUUCCAAGGGAUAAUAUUCAAUUUCAGCAAAUAUAUCAUGCACGGUAUUGAAACAUGCAUGUUAUUAAAGAAUUUCCAAGCAUCUCUCAUUUGAUAAAUCAAUAAUCAUAGCAAUUGGAAAUUGAAUUUUAAUGACAAUAUACUUAAAGCAAUAAAUAAGCCAAAACCUUUACAGGUAAGCAUUCCAUCCAGCCUUGAUUGGCUUCCGUGUUUGAGCCAGCUUAUCAAUUUGUGCAUGAUAAUAUUCUGCCUUUGGCUUGGCCGGAUGAAAAAUUGGUAGAGACAAGAAGUUGGCUUUUUGUACCGAUUCCCCACAGACAGUGCCAAAUGUUGAUGCCCAAAUCUGAUCUAGUCUAUUAGCGACUUAAUAUCAAACUUCUACACCAGCAUUAGAUUUAUUUGGUAGAGAAUCGAUUGGUCAAUCGUCAAGAUGUCCUGCAACCACUAGCGAUUAACUUGCGAAUACUUAAAAUCAUAGAAGACGGUCAGAGGCGCUGAAAGUUUUUCCGGCGUGAACCCUCCGACACUCAAGUCAGUUUCUGGGCCUUUGCCAAAAAACUUGUGCCACCACUCAUAUGGCUUAAUAAACAUUGCCUUAAAAACCAAAAGCUUUUUGAGUAAUUUGCAGAAAACUGAAAGAGUAUAAAAGAAAGGAUUUUCCAUGAGUGGAAGAGAGAAAAAGAUGCCCUGCAGACCCCGAAAACAUAAAUAAAUCCUCCUUUUAAGGUCAUGCCCCACUCCCCUCUUUUCCCCUUUGUUCUCCUCCACUUACGGAAGUUAAGGAUGAGAUAAAAGUAAUGCCUCCACUCUCCAUUUUUUUUUCUCCUUUUUCCGUUACCAAACACCUACAAAUCUUAUCCCUACUAAUAUGCUCUAUAAGCCAUUAUUCUUCUAAAAUUAUUAAAUGCCAUUCUUCAUUCAAGCUUUCAUGGACAUUAUUUACAAAUUGUUCUUGUAUUUGACAGAAAAAUGAAAACUCCUCGUCAUACAAAACUGCAUGAACAAAUCUUCUGUUUAAUUAUGAUAAAAUAAUAAAUUCCAUUAACAGAUUCUGCUGUAUGUUAAUGUGAGGGAUUUGAUCAGAUGAUCAUAUAAUUUACUACACGCUUUAAGAAGAACAAAAAUUGAUGACUUAAAAAUUAAAAAAUAAACAUAUAAAGAGUAGAUACAAAGAAUGUUAUUUGCAAUCAACAAACUGAAGAACAGGGGAAUGAUAACAGAGGACGGUUGCUGCAACAUUAUGAAGUCAAAAUUAAGAAAGGCAUUUUUUUCUUUUUUUUUUACAUUAUUCUAUUUAAUCUUAAAUUUUUACAAUCACCAAAUGGAAAAACAGGGGACUGAAAACAAAGAAGCCCUGUUUGCAGAAACAGGGGAGUUUCCGGGUUUCUGGAAACAAACUCAGAAACGAAUGAACUGGCUGCCGGCGGUACUUUCUAGAUAAAUCUCUUGGUGUAUAUAAGCUUUCAUGAUCUGGUUUUAGUCUGGUUAGGUUCAGCCACUGUGACUGUUAGGGAUUCUCGUAAACUGAAUUUAAAGUUGCGGCUUAAAGUGUUUACCAACUUAAAACCAGAGCUAUAAAGUGUUUGAUGAAUUAUUUUUUAAUUUAAAAAAAUAAAAAACUGAUUUAGCGGGAUAAAAUAAUGCUCCAUUCUGUUUAGUAUGUGAAGUCCAGAGUAUUACAAAGAGAUAACUGAAUCUUCAAUGUAAUAAAAUAAUGAUCAGCCUCAGAGGAUACAUAAAAAGCUCAUUUAUCACAACCAUAUCCUAGUGCAUCAUAAACUUGAUUAUUUAAUUUUACUAUUAGGAAACCUACUUAUAUAAGGCGCACACCACAAAUUCUAAAUUAAAUUUCUAACUAAGAAUAAAAGGUAAAGCCUAGCAAUUUUCCACCAGGUGCCGUGUAGCCUGCAUCAUAAAUUUUGAUUUAAAUCUUUGUAAUCACCGAACAGAAAAACCGGGGAAUGAAAACAGAGGAGCCCUAUUUUUCCAUUUUUUUAACCCUUAACUCUUGUUCUGCUGUACGGCCAAGGCGGAUGUACGGUACAGCAGCUGCAUAGUCUUCACAUGAAAACUAGCUGCAUGAUUGAUUGAUGGGGUGUAAAACCAGUAGGAAAUAUCUUGAAGAAACCAAAGAUCCGUGGAUUUUUAUGCUUACCACCAAAUGAAUUUAACAAUUUGUGUAAUCUUUAUUUUAAGAAAUUGAACAUUGAUAAUACCGCAAAUCGAUUGCUCUUUUGAACAGACUUUAUAUCUUGAGUUCGAUGAAAAGAGAACAAUCAAUCAAGAAAUAUAAAUACAUCAGCAAAAUAAUGAUGGUAGCAGCAUUACACAUCUAAUUAGCCAUAACGAAGCUGAAUAAUUAGCCAUAAUAAAUCUAAACUGUUAACAUUAUGUCAAGCAUGUUGUUGGAAAAUAUUAAAUUAAUUCAUUUGCAAGUAUAAUAGCAUGUAAUCUUGAAUUAUGAAUGAAGCCCAUUCUAACAAGCUAAUUUUGUAAAGGAACAUUAUCAACGAAUUCCAAGGGAUAAUAUUCAAUUUCAGCAAAUAUAUCAUGCACGGUAUUGAAACAUGCAUGUUAUUAAAGAAUUUCCAAGCAUCUCUCAUUUGAUAAAUCAAUAAUCAUAGCAAUUGGAAAUUGAAUUUUAAUGACAAUAUACUUAAAGCAAUAAAUAAGCCAAAACCUUUACAGGUAAGCAUUCCAUCCAGCCUUGAUUGGCUUCCGUGUUUGAGCCAGCUUAUCAAUUUGUGCAUGAUAAUAUUCUGCCUUUGGCUUGGCCGGAUGAAAAAUUGGUAGAGACAAGAAGUUGGCUUUUUGUACCGAUUCCCCACAGACAGUGCCAAAUGUUGAUGCCCAAAUCUGAUCUAGUCUAUUAGCGACUUAAUAUCAAACUUCUACACCAGCAUUAGAUUUAUUUGGUAGAGAAUCGAUUGGUCAAUCGUCAAGAUGUCCUGCAACCACUAGCGAUUAACUUGCGAAUACUUAAAAUCAUAGAAGACGGUCAGAGGCGCUGAAAGUUUUUCCGGCGUGAACCCUCCGACACUCAAGUCAGUUUCUGGGCCUUUGCCAAAAAACUUGUGCCACCACUCAUAUGGCUUAAUAAACAUUGCCUUAAAAACCAAAAGCUUUUUGAGUAAUUUGCAGAAAACUGAAAGAGUAUAAAAGAAAGGAUUUUCCAUGAGUGGAAGAGAGAAAAAGAUGCCCUGC